UACGAACUGUGCAAACGUUAUUCGGAAUCACUGGGCUUACAGGGUGCGUAGGCGGCUUGUUAAGUCGGGUGUGAAAGCCCCCGGCUCAACCGGGGAAUGGCGCCCUAAACUGGCGAGCUGGAGUGAGAUAGGGGUGUGCGGAACUUCCGGUGGAGCGGUGAAAUGUGUUGAUAUCGGAAGGAACGCCGGUGGCGAAAGCGGCACACUGGAUCUCAACUGACGCUGAGGCACGAAAGCCAGGGGAGCGAACGGG
This 253-nucleotide ribosomal RNA is filed under the name uncultured bacterium. RNAcentral describes it as "partial 16S ribosomal RNA". It matches the Rfam family "Bacterial small subunit ribosomal RNA", at positions 524 to 776 of the family's 1533-position model. The record is from RNAcentral.